This 301-nucleotide ribosomal RNA is filed under the name uncultured bacterium. RNAcentral describes it as "partial 16S ribosomal RNA". It matches the Rfam family "Bacterial small subunit ribosomal RNA", at positions 509 to 807 of the family's 1533-position model. The record is from RNAcentral.
CAGCAGCCGCGGGAAUACGUAGGGUGCAAGCGUUGUCCGGAAUUAUUGGGCGUAAAGAGCUCGUAGGCGGUUUGUCGCGUCUGCUGUGAAAUCCCGAGGCUCAACCUCGGGCUUGCAGUGGGUACGGGCAGACUAGAGUGCGGUAGGGGAGAUUGGAAUUCCUGGUGUAGCGGUGGAAUGCGCAGAUAUCAGGAGGAACACCGAUGGCGAAGGCAGAUCUCUGGGCCGUAACUGACGCUGAGGAGCGAAAGCGUGGGGAGCGAACAGGAUUAGAUACCCCAGUAGUCCCUGUCUCUUAUAC